Molecule: ribosomal RNA, 232 nt
Filed under: uncultured bacterium
Lineage: Bacteria
Description: partial 16S ribosomal RNA
Rfam family: Bacterial small subunit ribosomal RNA
Source: RNAcentral
AGUAACACGUAGGUAACCUGCCCAUGUGUCCGGGAUAACUGCUGGAAACGGUAGCUAAAACCGGAUAGGUAUACAGAGCGCAUGCUCAGUAUAUUAAAGCGCCCUUCAAGGCGUGAACAUGGAUGGACCUGCGGCGCAUUAGCUAGUUGGUAAGGUAACGGCCCACCAAGGCGAUGAUGCGUAGCCGGCCUGAGAGGGUAAACGGCCACAUUGGGACUGAGACACGGCCCAA